GAUGCAGGAGCACCUGGGGGCAGGUGGUCCUGCGUGCGCCUCACCUGUGGGGAGCACCUGGCCGGCCUGGGGCGGAGGUGCCCGCCCUAGAAGGGGCGCCCCGCACAAGGCUGCACAGCUGCACCGAGGCCGGCGGGCGCCGAGGCGUGCAGCCCGGCCUUGCACAGCCCACAUGCCCGGGACAGGUGGGCACCUCCCAGACGGGGGACAGGCCCCUCUCCGCACUGGAGCCCCCAGGGCCGGGCGAUCUGAGCAGGGAAGGCUUCUCUGAGGUGACACCUGGGGCCUGGAUGAGCCGUGGAGCGGGCUGGACCUGCCCUGCGGGCACCGACGCCGGCGUCACGGGCUCCUGUUUGCUUGUCCCCAGGUCAUCAUGCACCCGCUGAAGCCCCGGCUCUCGGCCACCCAAGGCGUCGUGGGCAUCGCGGCCAUCUGGGGCUUGGCCACGGUCUUCUCCCUCCCCCACGCCAUCUGCCAGAAAUUAUUCACCUUCAAGUACAGUCCCCUUUGCAGUGGGAGUGGGGACGCAGCGGGUUCCACGGCCUCCACGGGCGGGCCGGCCCCGGACCAGGAGCAGCAGGGCUCAGACGUUCACGGGUCCCGACUGCGGGCCAGGAACAACCCAGGCUCAGGACACCGGCCCAGUGCAGCCCUGCCUUGGAGACGCCAGGGCGGAGCCAGCACAGCAGG
Molecule: long non-coding RNA, 690 nt
Filed under: Dasypus novemcinctus (nine-banded armadillo)
Lineage: Eukaryota; Metazoa; Chordata; Mammalia; Cingulata; Dasypodidae
Description: lncRNA (ENSDNOG00000050746.1)
Source: RNAcentral